This 34-nucleotide ribosomal RNA is filed under the name Glycosmis cochinchinensis. Its description in RNAcentral is "partial 26S ribosomal RNA". Lineage: Eukaryota; Viridiplantae; Streptophyta; Magnoliopsida; Sapindales; Rutaceae. The record is from RNAcentral.
UCGCGACCCCAGUCAGCGGACUACUCGCUGAGUU